AUUUUGGACGAUGGGCGAAAGCCUGAUCCAGCAAUGCCGCGUGCAGGAUGAAGGCCUUCGGGUUGUAAUCUGCUUUUGUACGGAACGAAAAGUCCCUGGAUAAUACCCUGGGACCAUGACGGUACCGUAAGAAUAAGCACCGUCUAACUAAUUGCCAGCAACCGCGGUAAUACGUAGGGUGCAAGCGUUAAUCGGAAUUACUGGGCGUAAAGCGUGCGCAGGCGGUUAUAUAAGACAGAUGUGAAAGCCCCGGGCUCAACCUGGGAACUGCCUUUGUGACUGCAAGGCUAGAGUACGGCAGAGGGGGGUGGAAUUCCGCGUGUAGCAGUGAAAUGCGUAGAUAUGCGGAGGAACACCGAUGGCGAAGGCAACCCCCUGGGCCUGUACUGACGCUCAUGCACGAAAGCGUGGGGAGCAAACAG
Molecule: ribosomal RNA, 422 nt
Filed under: uncultured bacterium
Lineage: Bacteria
Description: partial 16S ribosomal RNA
Rfam family: Bacterial small subunit ribosomal RNA
Source: RNAcentral